CUCGGGCUUUCUCUUGGCUGUUUCUCUCCAGUUGAACUUGGACCACUGAAAGCAGAGAGCUGGAAGUGGAGGAGUGGGGAAGGAGAGAUUCUGCAGUUCAGCUGAGCCAGUGUUGUCAGAAGUAGCCAGUGAGCCCCCGCAAGGAGAUUUCAGCUGUCCAACACAACUCACCUAGACCCUGAUUUUCAAAGGCACUUGUAGUGACUUUGAUGAGAAUUACAAACAAUUCCCACUUCUGGUCCAAGGUCUUUGCAGCACCAGAGGCCGCUGAUCGCUGAUAAACGCUGUGCUUAAUACUGACAGUGAACUUGCCUUACGUGAGCCAUUCUCACCUUUGCCAAGAGAUCUGUUAAAUUUUACAGGAGCAGUUAUUACAUUGACCAAAUGAGGCCUCUACACUCAAACCAAACAUUGGAAGGAGGCAGCGGCUCAGCAUGUUGCAGCGGAACUGUACCUACUGACUGUGAUGGAGUCAUCUAAACCGAGUGGCAACAAGCCAGCAAGGCAGCAGGAACAGUUGAAGCAUCAUCUACACCCUUUUAUGGUUGCUGAACUCUCCUGCCCAGAGGGACAAACCCGAUUGCCCCAAGCACGGCGAGGUCUCACAAGCUCCAAGUGUGAAGUGAAACAUGAGGCUUUUGCAGCAGAGAGACACACGCAGCAGGUCAUCUUUGGGCUCUCCGAAUACUUGCAGCUCAGGGUCGCUCUCUGGAAACAUGGCAGAGCUGACGUGCUGCACGGAGCUGUGCCUCUGCUGAGGGUAUUUAUUCCCCCAGAAACAUCUCCCAAAAGGUUCUGGCUUGGCACAGGCUUGGCUAAGUCGGGUAUCAUUUACAAUCUGAAACUGUAAACUGUAAGUGCCUUUAUACAAUGUAACUAUUGCUGCUUGAUGUCCAAUAGCUGUACGGUUUGUCCAUAAAACACAUACUCAAGUCACGAACAUGCUUUUCCUACCCUCAUAAAAUAUCUAGAGAGACAUAUAUCCCCCGAGGAAUUCUGGAACUCGCAUAGAAAUGGUAGCGGCAUUGCUCCUCAGUGUACUUUUUCCUUGGUUCUUUGGCUUAUUCUCAAGUUGAAAUUUUCUCUUUUCUGCAGGCAGUGGUUUGUAAAAUGUCCAGAUUCUGCUCUUUUAUGUAGCGGGAAUUUUACAUUAUGCCUUUAAAACAGUCCAGCAAGUUUAAAUUAGCUUUGUCAUGAUGGUUCCUGGUAUGUUCCCAGUUAAAUCUGAAGUAAAACUCUCCCUACAUUCAGGUGGAGCAGGAUUAGGCUUUAAAUUUAAGAUUCCAGACACGAUGAAGUCUCACUAAUACAAGUACUUAUUCCUCAUUUCAAAUUAUCUUUUUAUAUUCAUACUGGCAUCUAGAGGUAUCUAUUGCAUUAUGAUAAAAUAAGUAAAUGAUUAAAUGGGCAUGUGUAUAGUUUUGUUCCACUGUUUUAUAAUGAUGCCUAUAAAAUGAGUCCAAAUAAAUCCAUCACACAUCUCUUUA
This is a long non-coding RNA of Harpia harpyja (harpy eagle), 1487 nucleotides long. RefSeq lists it as uncharacterized. The record is from RefSeq and is a predicted model, not a curated record. NCBI's taxonomy places the organism in Eukaryota, Metazoa, Chordata, Aves, Accipitriformes, Accipitridae. The transcript is spliced from 2 exons.